Molecule: ribosomal RNA, 1461 nt
Filed under: Salmonella enterica subsp. enterica serovar Typhimurium
Lineage: Bacteria; Pseudomonadati; Pseudomonadota; Gammaproteobacteria; Enterobacterales; Enterobacteriaceae
Also listed under: 2 other names
Description: bacterial SSU rRNA
Rfam family: Bacterial small subunit ribosomal RNA
Source: RNAcentral
GCUGACGAGUGGCGGACGGGUGAGUAAUGUCUGGGAAACUGCCUGAUGGAGGGGGAUAACUACUGGAAACGGUGGCUAAUACCGCAUAACGUCGCAAGACCAAAGAGGGGGACCUUCGGGCCUCUUGCCAUCAGAUGUGCCCAGAUGGGAUUAGCUAGUUGGUGAGGUAACGGCUCACCAAGGCGACGAUCCCUAGCUGGUCUGAGAGGAUGACCAGCCACACUGGAACUGAGACACGGUCCAGACUCCUACGGGAGGCAGCAGUGGGGAAUAUUGCACAAUGGGCGCAAGCCUGAUGCAGCCAUGCCGCGUGUAUGAAGAAGGCCUUCGGGUUGUAAAGUACUUUCAGCGGGGAGGAAGGUGUUGUGGUUAAUAACCGCAGCAAUUGACGUUACCCGCAGAAGAAGCACCGGCUAACUCCGUGCCAGCAGCCGCGGUAAUACGGAGGGUGCAAGCGUUAAUCGGAAUUACUGGGCGUAAAGCGCACGCAGGCGGUCUGUCAAGUCGGAUGUGAAAUCCCCGGGCUCAACCUGGGAACUGCAUUCGAAACUGGCAGGCUUGAGUCUUGUAGAGGGGGGUAGAAUUCCAGGUGUAGCGGUGAAAUGCGUAGAGAUCUGGAGGAAUACCGGUGGCGAAGGCGGCCCCCUGGACAAAGACUGACGCUCAGGUGCGAAAGCGUGGGGAGCAAACAGGAUUAGAUACCCUGGUAGUCCACGCCGUAAACGAUGUCUACUUGGAGGUUGUGCCCUUGAGGCGUGGCUUCCGGAGCUAACGCGUUAAGUAGACCGCCUGGGGAGUACGGCCGCAAGGUUAAAACUCAAAUGAAUUGACGGGGGCCCGCACAAGCGGUGGAGCAUGUGGUUUAAUUCGAUGCAACGCGAAGAACCUUACCUGGUCUUGACAUCCACAGAACUUUCCAGAGAUGGAUUGGUGCCUUCGGGAACUGUGAGACAGGUGCUGCAUGGCUGUCGUCAGCUCGUGUUGUGAAAUGUUGGGUUAAGUCCCGCAACGAGCGCAACCCUUAUCCUUUGUUGCCAGCGGUUAGGCCGGGAACUCAAAGGAGACUGCCAGUGAUAAACUGGAGGAAGGUGGGGAUGACGUCAAGUCAUCAUGGCCCUUACGACCAGGGCUACACACGUGCUACAAUGGCGCAUACAAAGAGAAGCGACCUCGCGAGAGCAAGCGGACCUCAUAAAGUGCGUCGUAGUCCGGAUUGGAGUCUGCAACUCGACUCCAUGAAGUCGGAAUCGCUAGUAAUCGUGGAUCAGAAUGCCACGGUGAAUACGUUCCCGGGCCUUGUACACACCGCCCGUCACACCAUGGGAGUGGGUUGCAAAAGAAGUAGGUAGCUUAACCUUCGGGAGGGCGCUUACCACUUUGUGAUUCAUGACUGGGGUGAAGUCGUAACAAGGUAACCGUAGGGGAACCUGCGGUUGGAUCACCUCCUUACCUUAAAGAAGC